AGAGAUGUUACAGAUACCAAUGAUGAAAAAGAUCACCAAAUUCUCCUACGACCAUCAAGCAUCUUGUCAUUGCAAAGAUUCUCCCAUUGAUAAAAGGAGGGCAGAGUUGUUCCUGCAAGGGAAAUUAGGCUUGGUGUCCACCAAUGGAGCGAUCUCCUCAGCUUCAUCCGUGUUGAUAGCAAUGUUGGUCCCGCGCAACUGGCAGUAUAGAACCAGCCGCCGGCACCGUUGUAGACCACGUCGUCGAAUGGUUUGAUUGGAGUGUGAGAGACAUCCAUCCGGCGGCUGUACAUUACCUAAUAAUUUCUCCAUCCAGGACGAUACCGCCACCUCAUCAGUGUAAUCUGACGCCGGCAUAGCUCGUCAGGGGUGGCGGGUCUGUGCCGUUCCGGCAGGCCAGGCCACAAGCAGCGUUGAAGUCAGCUUCCACUAUGCGAGGUUUGGCCCAAACACCACAAACGUCGCAACUGGGCCCAAGCAAUGGUAGAAUAGUCGAUCAAGCAGGCUCGGCGAGGUAAGAUGUCGCAAAAUUCUUUGUGCACUGCAUGCGGCGUAGAAAAUCCCACGUGUACCAUCUCAU
Molecule: long non-coding RNA, 580 nt
Filed under: Elaeis guineensis (African oil palm)
Lineage: Eukaryota; Viridiplantae; Streptophyta; Magnoliopsida; Arecales; Arecaceae
Description: long non-coding RNA (EGUI_LNC018735)
Source: RNAcentral